UACGGGGGGAGCAAGCGUUGUUCGGAUUCACUGGGUUUAAAGGGUGCGUAGGUGGGCAAGUAAGUCAGUGGUGAAAUCUCCGGGCUUAACCCGGAAACUGCCAUUGAUACUAUUUGUCUUGAAUACUGUGGAGGUCAGCGGAAUAUGUCAUGUAGCGGUGAAAUGCUUAGAUAUGACAUAGAACACCAAUUGCGAAGGCAGCUGGCUACACAAAUAUUGACACUGAGGCACGAAAGCGUGGGGAUCAAACAGG
This 253-nucleotide ribosomal RNA is filed under the name uncultured bacterium. Its description in RNAcentral is "partial 16S ribosomal RNA". It matches the Rfam family "Bacterial small subunit ribosomal RNA", at positions 524 to 776 of the family's 1533-position model. The record is from RNAcentral.